GAUGAACGCUGGCGGCGUGCUUAACACAUGCAAGUCGAACGGUGAAGCUCCAGCUUGCUGGAGUGGAUCAGUGGCGAACGGGUGAGUAACACGUGAGCAACCUGCCCCUGACUCUGGGAUAACAGCCGGAAACGGCUGCUAAUACCGGAUAUGCACCAUGAACGCAUGUUCUGUGGUGGGAAAGAUUUUUCGGUUGGGGAUGGGCUCGCGGCCUAUCAGCUUGUUGGUGAGGUAAUGGCUCACCAAGGCGUCGACGGGUAGCCGGCCUGAGAGGGUGACCGGCCACACUGGGACUGAGACACGGCCCAGACUCCUACGGGAGGCAGCAGCGGGGAAUAUUGCACAAUGGGCGAAAGCCUGAUGCAGCAACGCCGCGUGAGGGAUGACGGCCUUCGGGUUGUAAACCUCUUUUAGCAGGGAAGAAGCGAGAGUGACGGUACCUGCAGAAAAAGCGCCGGCUAACUACGUG
Molecule: ribosomal RNA, 469 nt
Filed under: uncultured bacterium
Lineage: Bacteria
Description: partial 16S ribosomal RNA
Rfam family: Bacterial small subunit ribosomal RNA
Source: RNAcentral